RNAcentral lists this non-coding RNA (29 nucleotides) under Rattus norvegicus (Norway rat). Lineage: Eukaryota; Metazoa; Chordata; Mammalia; Rodentia; Muridae. The record is from RNAcentral.
UAAAAUGUUGGCCUAGUUACUCAUAGUAA